CUUAACAGGAUUUAGUGACUAACUGGAUGUAGAGAGUGGAUGAUGAAAGGUGGAAAGGAGUAAGUUCCAGAGUCCUAGCAUGUGAGAAUGAGUAGAUGAAGAUCCAUCAACCAGACUAGCGAUAUAAAAGGAAGAGUAUGUCUUAGAGGUGAAAUCAUGAUCAAUUUUGGACAUGCAGAGUGAGAGAUUUCUGAGAUUUUAUUCAGAGAACAUCUUCAAAGGGAUUCUUGGAAAAUUCAAGAUCAUCAGUCCAUAAACACCCAGCAGAGGAAGAUUUUCCCUAUAAAAUAUUUGAAUUCAAGGGAGAAACCUGGGAGCCACAAGAAAAAGAGAUUUUUACAAUGAAGAAUGACAGACUGGGAGACAAUCACCCGAAGAAAACAAGAUGCUGCUUAUGGGGAUCUGAAGAAAAGCACUCAAGGUCAAGGCUGUGGUUAAGUUUUUGCCAGAAAGCAGGAUUAUUUGCCUCGAAAUCAAACAAUGGAGCUUUACUCAGUUAAUUUCUGUUUGAAAAAUUUUCUAGGAUUCUUGAGACUAUGUCAUCUUUAGAACUGAAAUGGAAACUAAAAAUCAGCUAUUCAAAGACUCUUAAUCCACAGCAGGCCUUAACCCCUCCCCAAUUUCAAAAGAUGGAUUUAGAGUGCUCCAGUUCUCCUUCUGGCCUAUUUUUGACAUAGAAUUGGCAAAUGAGAAGAGAGACAAAUGGAGAAGAGAGAAAAGGAAUUUUCAUCAGAAUGCCCUCCUCAUUCCAUCUCAUGUCCAAAAGUGAGACAUGACCAAGGACCUCUUCUGGAAUAUUGCCUCCACCCUCAGCUAUAGCUCCAGCUGCUGGAAAACAAAAGCCACUGGACUCUUAACUGCCUUCCUGGUUUAUACGUGAUCUCCAG
Molecule: long non-coding RNA, 887 nt
Filed under: Equus asinus (donkey)
Lineage: Eukaryota; Metazoa; Chordata; Mammalia; Perissodactyla; Equidae
Description: lncRNA (ENSEASG00005035776.1)
Source: RNAcentral